This is a non-coding RNA of Cordylochernes scorpioides, 72 nucleotides long. The record is from the annotation of a GenBank genome assembly. Lineage: Eukaryota; Metazoa; Arthropoda; Arachnida; Pseudoscorpiones; Chernetidae.
AAAUAAAUAACUAGUGUAUGACGUUUCAGUAACAACGCUGUUAAAGAAACGUCACACACUAUUGAUUUAUUU